This 253-nucleotide ribosomal RNA is filed under the name uncultured bacterium. RNAcentral describes it as "partial 16S ribosomal RNA". It matches the Rfam family "Bacterial small subunit ribosomal RNA", at positions 524 to 776 of the family's 1533-position model. The record is from RNAcentral.
UACGAAGGGGACUAGCGUUGUUCGGAUUUACUGGGCGUAAAGCGCGCGUAGGCGGAUCGCUAAGUCAGGGGUGAAAUGCCAAGGCUCAACCUUGGAACUGCCUUUGAUACUGACGAUCUGGAGAUUGGGAGAGGUGAGUGGAAUUCCGAGUGUAGAGGUGAAAUUCGUAGAUAUUCGGAGGAACACCAGAAGCGAAGGCGGCUCACUGGCCCAAUACUGACGCUGAGGCGCGAAAGCGUGGGGAGCGAACGGG